Molecule: long non-coding RNA, 393 nt
Organism: Jaculus jaculus (lesser Egyptian jerboa)
Lineage: Eukaryota; Metazoa; Chordata; Mammalia; Rodentia; Dipodidae
Exons: 2
Source: RefSeq, a predicted model, not a curated record
UCCCUGUAAUACAGCUUGUGUUGCAGUCCAAGAAUGGGAUCCACCUGCAUCUCAGGAAGCUCCAGUAAUGCGGGUCAGAUGUCUGCAGCGGCUUUCCUGAGUGAAAACGAAGGAUUUCAAGAGGUCUGAGGAAGGAUCCCUUCUGCUAUGUUCCAGCUUCUAGAGUUUUGCCCUCAAGGUCUCCCACUGAGUAGAUUUAGCGUCCCAGGGUUGUUCUUCAUUGAAGAACUGAUUUAACGUUUAAUCAAGUAACAGUAAUUCAGCCCAGCCACACUGAAGUAGAACUAAUUGAACAUGAAAGUAAACAUGAAAUUCUAUGUUUGUCAAUUUAGCAUGGAGACAUAUUUCCUCACAUCUACCUAAUCUGAAAAUAAAACUUUGCUGUUUUCCUGA